Non-coding RNA from Pimephales promelas (fathead minnow), 207 nucleotides. The record is from RefSeq and is a predicted model, not a curated record. Lineage: Eukaryota; Metazoa; Chordata; Actinopteri; Cypriniformes; Leuciscidae.
UGCACUUUUUGACCACAAACAGUUUGACCACGUAAAGAAUAUUAAAAGCAAUGGUCGGGGGCAUAAGAAAAAUAAUAUUAAGGGAUUUAAAAUAAGUAGGCCUGAUUAUGAACAAUCCAUCCUGUAAAUGUAACCGAAGUGUAAGGUGAGCACAGGGUGGCAGCUGCUUCCUGCGGUGUUUUCCUGCUCAGGUCAGUCUCUCCAGGG